AGUGAACGCUGGCGGUAGGCCUAACACAUGCAAGUCGAACGGCAGCACAGUAAGAGCUUGCUCUUACGGGUGGCGAGUGGCGUACGGGUGAGGAAUACAUCCUAAUCUACUUUUUCGUGUGGCUUCACGUAGGGAAACUUACUCUAAUACCGCAUCCGACCUACGGUUGAAAGCAGGGGAUCUUCUGACCUUGCGCGAUUGAAUGAGCCGAUGUCGGAUUAGCUAGUUGGCGGGGUAAAGGCCCACCAAGGCGACGAUCCGUAGCUGGUCUGAGAGGAUGAUCAGCCACACUGGAACGGAGACACGGUCCAGACGCCUAAGGGAGGCAGCAGUGGGGAAUAUUGGACAAUGGGCGCAAGCCUGAUCCAGCCAUACCGAGUGGGUGAAGAAGGCCUUCGGGUUGUAAAGCCCUUUUGUUGGGAAAGAAAAGCAGCAGGUUAAUACCCCGCUGUUCUGACGGUGCCCAAAGAAUAAGCACCGGCUAACUUCGUG
Molecule: ribosomal RNA, 492 nt
Filed under: uncultured bacterium
Lineage: Bacteria
Description: partial 16S ribosomal RNA
Rfam family: Bacterial small subunit ribosomal RNA
Source: RNAcentral